This 1527-nucleotide long non-coding RNA is filed under the name Gossypium barbadense (sea-island cotton). RNAcentral's name for it is "long non-coding RNA (GBAR_LNC015553)". Lineage: Eukaryota; Viridiplantae; Streptophyta; Magnoliopsida; Malvales; Malvaceae. The record is from RNAcentral.
UUCAACCCCCUAACACUGCUUGCGGAGUCUAAAAACUCAACUGGUAGUGUACCAAAUAUUUUUCCAUAUAUAUAUGUGUGUGUGUUUAUAAUUACUUUAAGAUAGUGUUUGGAAAAUAUGAUUUCAGAAUUUAGAUUUAGAUUUUAAAAAUAGUCUAAUUUAAAUACUAAACUAUUUAGAAAUGUAAUUGUAGGGCCCAAAUUUUUCCCGGGCCCGCAUAAAUAAAAAUGAAUAUAAAUUCAAAGUCCUAUAAACAGUCCAAAGUUACAAUUUAUCAGCAAGCCCAACGCCAAAACUGCCCAAUUACAUCAGCCCAAAUCAACCUAGCCCAAAACCCUCUUUAAACCCAGUCCUAAGCCCAGCAAACCAACUCAGCCCAAUGCUAUGGCCCGAUUUUAAGAAAAUUCCAGAAACACCUAGGGUUUUCGAAACCCUUUUGCGCCGCAAUCCAGGUUCUGCUUCGCGCGUGCUGCACCAAUGCCAAGCAUCGGCCUCCCCCACGUGCCUCCGUACACUCCAGCUGGACUUCUCCGUACCUGCAACAAACAAUAAGUCGACAGCAAAAAUGGAACAAAAACAAAAAAAGAAGAAGCUAGCAGAGAAAACGGAAGAAAUAAUAGAAAAAAAGAAGAAAAAUCAUUUUGUAAUAUACGGCAAUAUAAAAGGCCGAUGGAUUCAUUCUUGUAGGGGGUACGCAUUCAAUACACAGAUUUUUUCGAUAUACAGAAAUCAAAAAAGUUCCAAAAGGUGAUUUCCCCAGUUUUUUCUUGUUACGAUUUCGGUUUCUUUUUUUUCUUUUCUACGUUCAAUCGUUAGUUUCUUUAAAGCGAGAAAGCGAUUUAGAGAGGAGGAAAGCGUACUUGGCGGAGGGAUUUCGGCCUCCUCCGUCGUCAUCAGAGAGUAGGUCAGAAUCGAAGACUCUCCUCAGGCCCCCUGGUACGCAGAACGGCGCAAACGGAUGGGGGGGCUGUUGAUUUCUGAUGCGGCGUAGAACCCUUCUUUAGUUUAGGUUUUUCUUAUUUUAAAUGAUAGGUUUUAGGUUUUUAGGUUUUAAGUAUCUGAUUUCAAAACGCUGCCGUUCAGAGCCAAUACAAUAACACUGAAAUGGCACCGUUUCAUAGACCCGAUUCAAGCGGUGACCCGGUCCGGGAAGGAUCCGCACUUCAUGGAAUCGUUUGGCCUAUUUAUGCCCCAGGCCCCUCUUAGUUUGAAUUAGUCUCAAUUCGGUUACUUUAGUUUUUGUAAUUUAUACUGCGUAUUUAACUUUGUUUGCAUGUUGAUCCAAAGUUAAGCGACACCGUUUUACACCUGACGCUAUUAUACUAUUGUUUGCGCGAAAUUGUUGAUUGAAUCCCUUAAGAUUGAAAAUGAUUUCAUUUCGGUACAGCUGUUUUUAAAUUUAAUAAUAUAUAAUUUUAUUAUGGUUUAAAAUAUAACAAAUCAUUAUUUUAACUCGUAUUUUAUGUCUUAAAUUCGUUUUGCACUAAUACUUGGGGUUUAUUUAUUUUUUAUCAUUCUAACUUUUAC